GUGUAGUUUUAGGAGGAACAAGUCCCUCAUAUUCAAUUUAUCCAUCUGAUCACUUUGUCAGCUUUGUUUUUGAAUAUAUUUGCUGAUCAUUUUAGGCGAACGUUU
Lupinus angustifolius (narrow-leaved blue lupine) is the source of this 105-nucleotide non-coding RNA. NCBI's taxonomy places the organism in Eukaryota, Viridiplantae, Streptophyta, Magnoliopsida, Fabales, Fabaceae. The record is from Rfam.